Molecule: long non-coding RNA, 1485 nt
Organism: Megalobrama amblycephala (Wuchang bream)
Lineage: Eukaryota; Metazoa; Chordata; Actinopteri; Cypriniformes; Xenocyprididae
Exons: 3
Source: RefSeq, a predicted model, not a curated record
AAUGUUUUUUCCAUUGUUCAUUUUUGCAAUGGUAUAAGCUCUGUUUUUGAAUGAAAUGACAGCAAAAUUGAAUAAAUAAAGAAAUAAAUGAGCACAUUCAUGCCAGUGUAGCAAUGUGCCAGUCAUGUGUGAGAGGAGUAGCUGCCAACAAUAAUCCUCUCAGGAACACAUUUCCUUUUAUGUGUGAUUCUAAUUAAGCCGUGAUUGACUAUGUAAAUUUCUCCAUAAUCACACCUCAUUUUCAUUCUGCUAAAGCACAUUUUUUUCUUCCUUUCCAUGAGCUCAGAAGCCGAAAUCCGACGUGUCUCCCACGGCAGACCGUGAGUCAGUGAGUCCCAGUGUGAGGCACAGCAGUGCAGGGCGGCAGGAUCUCUGAGUGCUGGAGAGCGGUGGAUUGUUAUGGUUUGCAGUGGGUGGAUAAGGGUCAUACAGAAGUGUGGCAGGGGCAGGAAACAGGUGUCAGAAAUGACGCAGAGAGAGAGAGAGUGAGUGAGAGUACUUCAGACGAGCACAUGUUCACUCACACACAAACAGCAAUCAACGCUCCUGUCUUCAAGCUGUCUAGUAUUUUCAAAUAAGCUUCUCCGGUCCAAACAGGAAAGCGAGAUGAGGAGGAGGAAUGAGAGAAGAGAGGAUUUACGUAUAGGUCUCAGGAUCAGACGUGUGCAGGCCAAAACAGACAGAGGGAGAAAAAGUUUAGCUCAGUGCCACUGAGUCAGAGCUGAAUUGCACAUAGAUGUUUGUGUGUGAGAGAGAAGUGCCAGUGUGAGAAGGAGGUGCCAAUGAGGAACACGUGUGAACUACACAUCGUCAUGCAUCGUUCAGCACUCUAACUUGAAGGUUAAUGUAGUAGAAAGAGAGUUGUAUUGUUUUCAUCUCUUGAAAUCUCUGUUUUCUGAUCUACAUAUCUUUGCAUUAAUGGAGAUUUAUGCUUUGUAACUUGAACCAUAAUUAAAGUCAUCAUGAAAUUAAGAUUGACAAUUUUUAAAUUAUUUAAAUUAUUGCAGUAUGUGUUGUAAAUGAUUUAUCCUUGCACAUCAUUAUUCACGAGUUCACGCUUAUAUAUAAUAAAUAAAUUAAAGGUUAUGCGUAUUUGUCCUGAACCCAGAGUAUUUCCCCCCAUCCCAGGUUGGGAUAGGAAUAGUUAGAAAUGGGAGCUCUAGCACAAGUUCUACCUGGAAGACUCAAAUGUCACGUCAUUCAUUUCUCAUAGGUCUAGCCAAUCAUCACUCAACAUCUGGAGUAUAUAAAUUCUGUUCCCACCAAUUCAUUUGUUUGCAGAUACUUACACCGGCGUUCACCCCCAUCCUCCCCACCACUACCACCAUGUCGGUCCCUGUCCAUACGCUCCACCCCUGCCUUCAUCUUCAGGCAGGAACUGCAAGUAUCUGCUACCCUUUGGAUUUGGACAAUGGACAGGGCCUAUGCCAAAGAACUUUAUCAUUUCAUCUUUGUUACUAAUUUGCAUACUAACUGUUAAAGGUG